UGGGGAAUUUUGGACAAUGGGCGAAAGCCUGAUCCAGCAAUGCCGCGUGUGUGAAGAAGGCCUUCGGGUUGUAAAGCACUUUUGUCCGGAAAGAAAUCCUUGGCUCUAAUACAGUCGGGGGAUGACGGUACCGGAAGAAUAAGCACCGGCUAACUACGUGCCAGCAGCCGCGGUAAUACGUAGGGUGCAAGCGUUAAUCGGAAUUACUGGGCGUAAAGCGUGCGCAGGCGGUUUGCUAAGACCGAUGUGAAAUCCCCGGGCUCAACCUGGGAACUGCAUUGGUGACUGGCAGGCUAGAGUAUGGCAGAGGGGGGUAGAAUUCCACGUGUAGCAGUGAAAUGCGUAGAGAUGUGGAGGAAUACCGAUGGCGAAGGCAGCCCCCUGGGCCAAUACUGACGCUCAUGCACGAAAGCGUGGGGAGCAAACAGGAUUAGAUACCCUGGUAGUCCACGCCCUAAACGAUGUCAACUAGUUGUUGGGGACUUCAUUUCCUUAGUAACGUAGCUAACGCGUGAAGUUGACCGCCUGGGGAGUACGGUCGCAAGAUUAAAACUUAAAGGAAUUGACGGGGUCAUAGCUGUUUCCU
Molecule: ribosomal RNA, 586 nt
Filed under: uncultured bacterium
Lineage: Bacteria
Description: partial 16S ribosomal RNA
Rfam family: Bacterial small subunit ribosomal RNA
Source: RNAcentral